UUCCUACGGGAGGCAGCAGCAGGGAAUUUUGCACAAUGGGCGCAAGCCUGAUGCAGCGACGCCGCGUGAGGGAUGAAGGCCUUCGGGUUGUAAACCUCUUUCAGGAGGGACGAAGCGCAAGUGACGGUACCUCCAGAAGAAGCCCCGGCCAACUACGUGCCAGCAGCCGCGGUAAUACGUAGGGGGCGAGCGUUGUCCGGAUUCAUUGGGCGUAAAGAGCUCGUAGGCGGCUCAGUAAGUCGGCCGUGAAAGCCCAGGGCUCAACCCUGGGAGGCCGGUCGAUACUGCUGUGGCUAGGGUCCGGUAGAGGAGAGUGGAAUUCCCGGUGUAGCGGUGAAAUGCGCAGAUAUCGGGAGGAACACCAGUAGCGAAGGCGGCUCUCUGGGCCGGUACCGACGCUGAGGAGCGAAAGCUAGGGGAGCAAACAGGAUUAGAUACCCUGGUAGUCCUAGCCGUAAACGUUGGGCACUAGGUGUGGCGGAUUCAUUGACAUCUGCCGUGCCGGAGCUAACGCAUUAAGUGCCCCGCCUGGGGAGUACGGUCGCAAGGCUAAAACUCAAAUGAAUUGACGGAA
Molecule: ribosomal RNA, 574 nt
Filed under: uncultured Actinomycetes bacterium
Lineage: Bacteria; Bacillati; Actinomycetota; Actinomycetes
Description: bacterial SSU rRNA
Rfam family: Bacterial small subunit ribosomal RNA
Source: RNAcentral